GAUGAGUAUACUGGCGGAUGGGUGAGUAACACGUAGGUAAUCUGCCCUUAGGACAGGGAUAACAUUGCUAACGCGAUGCUAAUACCUGAUGAAGCAACUGUUGAAUCAGAUGGUUGUUAAAGGCUGGCUUUCAGCUAGCGCCUGAGGAUGAGCCUGCGUCUCAUUAGCUAGUUGGUAGGGUAAUGGCCUACCAAGGCGACGAUGGGUAGCCGGCCUGAGAGGGUGAGCGGCCACACUGGGACUGAGAUACGGCCCAGACUCCUACGGGAGGCAGCAGUGAGGAAUAUUGCGCAAUGGCCGAAAGGUUGACGCAGCGACGCCGCGUGAGGGAUGAAGCUUUUAGGAGUGUAAACCUCUGUUAGGAGGGAAGAAUAAUGGCAAUUCGAACAGGGUUGUCAGAUGACGGUACCUCCAGAGGAAGCCCCGGCUAACUCCGUGCCAGCAGCCGCGGUAAUACGGGGGGGGCUAGCGUUGUCCGGAAUUACUGGGCGUAAAGGGCGCGUAGGCGGGAUAGCAAGUCAGUGGUGCAAACUUGAGGCUUAACUUCAAGCUUGCCAUUGAUACUGUUAUUCUUGAGUUCGGCAGAGGGAAGUGGAAUUCCUGGUGUAGCGGUGAAAUGCGUAGAUAUCAGGAAGAACACCGGUGGCGAAGGCGGCUUCCUGGUCCGAUACUGACGCUGAGGCGCGAAAGCGUGGGGAGCGAACAGGAUUAGAUACCCUGGUAGUCCACGCUGUAAACGAUGGGUACUAGGUGUUGGUUGUAAUGAUCAGCGCCGGAGCAAACGCAUUAAGUACCCCGCCUGGGGAAUACGGUCGCAAGACUGAAACUCAAAGGAAUUGACGGGGGCCCGCACAAGCGGUGGAGCAUGUGGUUUAAUUCGAUGCAACGCGAAGAACCUUACCUGGGCUUGAACUGCAGGUGCUAUCUCCUGAAAGGGAGUUUCCUUCGGGACGCCUGUAGAGGUGCUGCAUGGCUGUCGUCAGCUCGUGCUGUGAGGUGUUGGGUUAAGUCCCGCAACGAGCGCAACCUCUGUCCCUAGUUGCCAUCAGGUCAAGCUGGGAACUCUAGGGGGACUGCCCCGGAUAACGGGGAGGAAGGUGGGGAUGACGUCAAGUCAUCAUGGCCACUUACGUCCAGGGCUACACACGUGCUACAAUGGCCGGUACAACGGGUAGCGAGAC
This 1181-nucleotide ribosomal RNA is filed under the name uncultured organism. Its description in RNAcentral is "bacterial SSU rRNA". It matches the Rfam family "Bacterial small subunit ribosomal RNA", at positions 85 to 1255 of the family's 1533-position model. The record is from RNAcentral.